Molecule: ribosomal RNA, 433 nt
Filed under: uncultured bacterium
Lineage: Bacteria
Description: partial 16S ribosomal RNA
Rfam family: Bacterial small subunit ribosomal RNA
Source: RNAcentral
AACGAACGCUGGCGGCAUGCUUAACACAUGCAAGUCGAACGAGACCUUCGGGUUUUGUGGCGCACGGGUGCGUAAGGCGUGGGAACCUGCACUUAGGUUCGGAAUAACUCCCUGUAAGGGGUGCUAAUACAGGUUAAUGUCUUCGGACCAAAGAUUUAUCGCUUUUGGGUGGGCGCGCGUUGGAUUAGCUGGUUGGUAGGGUAAAAGCCUACCAUGGCGACGAUGCAGGGCUGGUCGGAGAGGAUGCUCAGCCACAAUGGGACUGAGACACGGGCCACACUCGGACGGAGGGGUGCAGAGGGGAAUAUUAGACGCUGAGGGCUAACCUAGCACAGCAAUGCCGCGUAAGACAUGAAUGCCGUAGUAUUGUACAGCUCUUUUACCCGGGAUGAUAAUGACGGUACCGGGAAAAUAAGCACCGGCUAACUCCGUG